AGAGUUCUGGCUUCGUAGGUGACCUGCGGAAGGAUCAUUA
RNAcentral lists this ribosomal RNA (40 nucleotides) under uncultured Cenococcum. RNAcentral's name for it is "partial 18S ribosomal RNA". The record is from RNAcentral. Lineage: Eukaryota; Fungi; Ascomycota; Dothideomycetes; Gloniales; Gloniaceae.